This is a long non-coding RNA of Halichondria panicea, 3044 nucleotides long. RefSeq lists it as uncharacterized. The record is from RefSeq and is a predicted model, not a curated record. NCBI's taxonomy places the organism in Eukaryota, Metazoa, Porifera, Demospongiae, Suberitida, Halichondriidae. The transcript is spliced from 2 exons.
AGUUGGUUUAUCUGAUUACUCGAGCGUAUAAAGCAAAUAUACCACGAGAGGCCAUAGUUUAACUGGCUUGUACUAUGUUUAGAACUGUACUACUAUGUUUAGCUACUUCCUGUCAUGCUUCUUCAAUGAAUAUGCUUAUAACUACUGUUUGACGUCACUGUUGCUAUAGCUAUGCAAUGAAUUUGCUAUUUUUUUAAAAAGCGAUGGCUGAUUCAAGCAAGCGUCUAUGAUUCAAGCAGAGAUACAAAAGAAAGGGGAUUGGAAACAAAAUUUUUACGAAAUUUUUGCGUGAAGCAUUCCGUGUUAUAGGGCGUGGCUAAAACUACAAAGGAUUAUAUUUAUAGUCAGCAUGCUCAUUACCUGUCUUGACUGCUCUACAAUGUGCUGUACAUAGAAACAGUGAAAUUGAUCAUUUUUAAUGUUGAUUUUUCUAAAAAGUAAAGAGAAUUUAGCUCUAAAAAGUCGACUAAGCAACGCAGCCACUAUUACUAGACAAAUAAAUGCUAUGCAAGAAGAAAUAGCCUUUACUAUGAAGUCGUAGGAGGGACAGGCCCGUGGUGUGUCUAAAAGUACACUAAAGCAGUUUAAAGGACUAUACUGCAAACGUUUAUGAACAGUACAGCUUAUUUAUAGCAUGAAGCCAUUCUAUGUAGCACUUAGAUACAUAAUAACCAAGUCAAGCAAUGUCCUUUGCUGUUUUGACUUCACAGGAGGGACAGAGAAAAGUUGACAUAGAGUAAUUCAAGCUAAACUCAAAAAAAUUGGAAACAGAGUAAAGACAACAGACUUAGAGCUUGUCAGUGGUAUAAGCUUACUUCUCUCAAGUAUCUCCCAGGCCCUGAGUGAUCUCUAGUGGAUAGGAGAGCUAGAAACCAGGGAUACAAAACCGUAGCGCAGUCCUCCAUGUAAUUAUUUGCGAGCGCAAUAAUUACACGGAGUGCUUCACCGGAUGUCAGUCCUUUUACAUAGGGCGUGGGCGGUCGUUUCCAAUCCCCUUUCUUUUGUAUCUCUGAUUCAAGCAAGCAAUUGUGAAGGCUGUGUUUCUGCAUCUUUAUAGAAGGCACUUCAAGAAAGUACACUGGUGCUACUUGUCUACAAAGAGUGCAAAUGUACCCCAAAAUAUCAUUCCACAAGCCUACUGUACUGGCCCAGUGCAGUGCAGUCUCUUUAGUCUGAGAAACACUCGGCAGUCUGGACCCUUCUUACUGCUCCUGGUCCCAUGCAGCAAUGUAAUAAGCAGGUUGUGACAACCAAUGUUGAAAGUUGAAAAAAAGCAACACAAACAAACCAGUAUCGUUCGAUUCACGAUCACGGAGUUCUUCGAAAUUUGCCUCCUUUUUGGAACUAUUCAUCGCUCGAACUUGGCUCUUUUUAUGUUGACUAAAAUCAUUAGUAGUCUGUUUUGUAUUGAAUUCUCUCUAACUCUAAUAUUGCUAAUAUUGAUUGAAUUGAGUAGUGUGUCAUUGUUUUAAUUGAAACAGUGUGUCAAUUUUGUUGCAAAGGUGGGAUACUGUAUUCAGUUCUAGCUGUACAUGUAGUUUGACCACAGCCAUGGUAUAUGGAAGUUAUACACUAGGGUAUAACUGCCAUAUACCAUGGCUGUGGUCAGACAGGUUGUAUAAGUAGUAUAAACUACAACUGAAGCCUUUGAUCUUUGGUGCAACCAUAGUACAAAUAUAUAUAUCCAUGUGCUAUAUAGUUAGUAUAAUUAUGCUGCUAACAACUCCAUGGAAUUUUAAUCGGUGCGUAUUCGCUUGGGUCACUGAUACGAUGUAGAAGGGCUUCGUUAUCUGUACACGUUCUGGUGUGCAUGUGCAGGGCUCGAAAUUACAGUCGGACAACUGACAAAAUCUGGUCAUUAUGUGAACAUGACCGAUUACUGCACUUGUUAGUCAGACAUUUUGUCAGAGCAUAUACGCGUAUACAUGUAGAGCUAGACAGAGAUAGGGGUUAGCUGUUCUAGCCCUUGUCAGAGUUUUAGUAGUUUAGAAAAUUAUUCGUUUGAGGCGUAGCCGCAUGUGGGAUACGGUAAAGCUGACUCCGACUGUCUGUUUAUGCAUGUGUCUGUCUGUCUGUGUGUCUGUUCCAGCUGUAGCCUCGAUCCCAGGCCGAGUUUUCGCUUUUAUAACGGUUAGGCGAACAACUGGGCCUGGUACUAGUUGUCUGCGCAUGCGUCAAUCGUUCGUCAGAUUCUGACGAAUGGAUAUUCUCGUUCACUUUCGUGACAUUUAUAUUCGUGUACUAUCGUGUACUAGAAGUCAGUUCCCGUUUUAUCAUUAUUGGAAUCGAUUGGAAUGGCUCUUAGCUGAAGCUUCUCUCUUCUCUGAAGCUUAUUCUGAAGACUGAACAACAAGGGAAGAGGUAUAAAGCUUUGUCAAGCUUGUUAAGGUCAGAUAUUUUUGUGUGGGCCCUAUGGCCGGCUAUGCUAUCAAGUCUUGUUCAUGUUUGGCAAGAAUGUAGGUAGACUAUAGUUUCAUCAUUAAUAUGGUGGAUCAAGUGAAGAGUGUGAGCUAGAGAACUUGGUGCUGCCAUCAUCAGCUCGUCGACAAUGACACUAUAACCGAGAAAUUUAAUAUGUAUAGAUCUACACGUAUUUAAAAUGUCUACUUCUCUGUACAGGAGCAAUGGCUAAUAUCCAGCUAUCCCAACAGUGCUCCUCUUGGCUAUACUAACGGACGAGACUGGACAGUUUGAGACACAGGACUGGAGUAUGACCUGCUCAUUCGAGCGUUGCUGGGUAGCUCAGAGACAUCAAGAGAAUCUACGUUUUCUCAAGCAAUGAGUUACGAGUUGGGGCCUAGAAUCAGAGAAGUCCAGCAGCCUGCUAAAUCUUUUUGAAACGUAAUUUGAAGGCAUUCAAUCAUCCUGAAGUUGCCCUGGGUCACUGUAAUUGUGCUGCAGCACAACUGGCAACUCCCCAGGCCUUUGUGAAGCAGCUCCCUAUGUGCAUCUUUUGUGUACUCACUCUGUGCAUUUUCUGUGUACAAAUUUCUAUUAUUGAUUUAUUAAAUAUUUUUGCCGACCACAAAUAUACAAUGAAAAUU